UUUUUUUUUUUUUUUUUUUUUACUUGUAUGGAUUAUGUUUUCACUACCAAAGGAAGAGAAUGAGUUAGUCAGGAAUCAUCUGGAAUUCCUUGAAAAUUAUUAUUGAUGGUAGCAGAAAUGAUGAGCUCUAUUUCUGCCACCCUCACUUUCUCUUUCACACAUAUACACAUAUGAAUACCUCACACAGUCUAAAAAAUGGUGGCUUUUCAGAAAAUGUAUUCCAUGCUCACGUUUUAUUCCAGAAACUGUUCUUUACUCCAUAAACCCUCCCUUCAAAAUUUCUUUUCAGAGUAAAUCUUUCCUAACUUGAUCUUAGCAAAUAUUCCCUUUAAUGUGCCUGAAAAGGAUUUUCUUCACAGACUACUCCCCAAAACUUUAUCCAUAAGAAAAAACUAUGAUGCAUAUUUCAAUAUUGUUGAGGUGUAGAUUAAAAUAUAAAGGCACAGUUAGAAAUGGGACAUUUCAGGGGUGAGAGAAAGCUGGUAGGUAAUGAAAGUAGAUGAAACAGUGUGAAACAGGCAAUUUAAUUUAAAGUAGGUUUUGGGGUUAACUUCCCUUAGAAUUAACUUCCUUUAGAAACAACAUAUUUUCUUGCAGUUCUUUAUGGAUUCUUGUCACUUUCCAAUGAGUAUGUGCUUUACAAAAUUUUUUCAGUGAAGAUUCUGACACACUUUACUCCUCCAAGUAAAUUUUCCUUUUUUUUUUAAUUUAUAAAAAUGAUGGGGGGAAAAAGAUGGGAGGAUAUUACUUAUCAUUUCAUGGCUGACAUGGAAAACAGCUAUAUUAAGUUUUUAAAUAGAGGUCCUCUGGAUCCACAGCACAUGAAAAUAGCACCUACCACUAAUCUGCAGUUAUGUUACCUAUUGGUAACUCAGCAGUGAAUAUCUUUGAUUCGUAGUGCAAUAAAGAUUCAAAUUAUUAAAAUUGGACCCAAUUCAUUAAUGUUUAGAGAUGUCAAUAUUUACAAAUGUUGAUGACAACAGGCAGGAAAUAUAUUGAUUUGCCAGGGAAAAUCACUGGCAAAAAAAUGGGAAUUUGGAAGACUUCCUGCCUCUUAGUAUUCUCCCCAAGACACACACACACACACACUCUCUCUCUCUCUCUCUCUCUUCCAAAGUAAGACUUAAAUGAAGAUAUAAAGCAGUUUUGAAAGGGAAAGAAGUUAGCAAGGACAGCAUACUACCCAUGAAAAUGGUUCUCAAGCUUAUAAAAUGAAUUGUCCUGGAGGGAGCAAAAGAUCCUUACACCGAUAAUUUACUCAUUCCCUUUUUUCAAUUGAGAAUGGGAGAGGUGACUCAGUAACAACUGUUGUCGAACAAACAAAUUUAAGGAUACUAUGUUUCAGGCCUGGCAUGGUGGCUCAUACCUGUACCCAACACUUUGCGAGGCUGAGGCGGGAGGAUCACUU
RNAcentral lists this long non-coding RNA (1408 nucleotides) under Macaca fascicularis (crab-eating macaque). Its description in RNAcentral is "lncRNA (ENSMFAG00000048067.1)". Lineage: Eukaryota; Metazoa; Chordata; Mammalia; Primates; Cercopithecidae. The record is from RNAcentral.